RNAcentral lists this ribosomal RNA (417 nucleotides) under uncultured bacterium. RNAcentral's name for it is "bacterial SSU rRNA". It matches the Rfam family "Bacterial small subunit ribosomal RNA", at positions 29 to 490 of the family's 1533-position model. The record is from RNAcentral.
AGCGAACGCUGGCGGCAGGCUUAACACAUGCAAGUCGAACGGGCACUUCGGUGUCAGUGGCAGACGGGUGAGUAACGCGUGGGAACAUACCUCUUGGUUCGGAACAACACAGGGAAACUUGUGCUAAUACCGGAUAAGCCCUUACGGGAAGAUUUAUCGCCGAGAGAUUGGCCCGCGUCUGAUUAGCUAGUUGGUGUGGUAAAAGCGCACCAAGGCGACGAUCAGUAGCUGGCUGAGAGGAUGAUCAGCCACAUUGGGACUGAGACACGGCCCAAACUACCUACGGGAGGCAGCAGUGGGGGAAUAUUGGACAAUGGGGCGCAAGCCUGAAUCCAGCCAUGCCGCGUGAGUGAUGAAGGCCCUAGGGUUGUAAAGCUCUUUUGUACGGGAAGAUAAUGACGGUACCGUAAGAAUAAG